AUUCUGCAUUUUUAGCAAGUU
RNAcentral lists this microRNA (21 nucleotides) under Pteropus alecto (black flying fox). Its description in RNAcentral is "pal-miR-544-3p". Its record names the gene pal-miR-544-3p. RNAcentral also lists the same sequence under 7 other names. Lineage: Eukaryota; Metazoa; Chordata; Mammalia; Chiroptera; Pteropodidae. The record is from miRBase by way of RNAcentral.